CCUUCUCUUUCAGAGGCACCUUUUAUGGUGACGUGGCAGGAGCUGGUGGUGAGCGUGGAGGCCACCCUCCUCCUGCUUCCCCUGCAGCUGCUGAUUGUGCACAUCUUCCAGAUGGUCCAUGCCCCAGUCCCGGAGCCCUCUCCUGCCACCGUCAAGCCCUGGCAGCCUGGGUUGCUCCCUAAAUCCGUGACUUCCCUCACGCACGUCCAUCAGGUGGGACCCUCUGCCCCUGAGAUCUUCCGGUGGGCUCUUGGAAAACAGAGAUGCCGGGGCCUCCUUGAGAGGGGCUGGAUUGGAUGAUCCCAAGGGUCCCUUCCAGCUCUGCUGUUCCAAGAUUAUUAGGGUUAGGGUUAGCUUAGUGGUCUAGGUCUCUGACUAUGGAGCCAGAGGUUGGGAGUUCGAUUCCCCCACAGGGGCUUCCUUGAUUGGGGCUGGACUCCAUGAUUCAGAGAAUCCCUGCAGCUCUAAAUUUUUCGUGCACUCCCAAGGCUUGUCCUCAUGGGAGCUAUAUAGGAGAGAGAAAAACAAAGUGUGGUUCCUCUCCAGGUAGCCACUUGCCACUCCUAAGGAGUUUCUCUCUCUCUGUCUCUCCCCUUCCCUCUUCCUUGGCAGGAACUGAUGGAGACCCUGGGCUUCCUCUACAAGAACCGCCUCUGCCAGCACAGGGACGUAGACGGGUUCCCCAACAGUAGGCAAAACGUGCCAGAGCUGGUGGCCUUCCUGUGUGACCUUGUCAGUUCCCACCUCCAGCACUCAGAGGACCCAGAAGCCCCCCUUCAGGAGAGAUCCUGCAACCUCCACAGCUACCUCUGCCACGUGGUGAAGGACUUGGAGGCUCAGCUCCGGCGCCUGGAUUGGGACACCCUUCCUCGCCCCUACGACCAUCUGCAUGCUGCGGAUCAGUUGCACAAACUCUGGCAGAACCUGGAACAGCAACAGCAACGACAGCAACCAUCACCUCAUCCCAGCGCAGAGGAGACGUGGUAUGCAAGAGGGAGCUCCCAGCCAUUUCCCCACCUCAGUCGACCCCAGAUCAAAACCAUCAUCUGGGAAAGAAAAUCUUAAGUCAGCUGGAAGUGGGGAGCAUGUGGGUCACCAUGGGACAGUCAUCCCCAUUAUUUUGAGCCAGAGCAGACAUUGCGGAGUGAGGAUGGGGGGUUGCUGUCCAACAUCUCAGCAGCUUUAAUUGCCCCUUUGCGCUUUUCACACACUCACACACAAGCUCUCAAGGUUGCUGCAGGAAGGCUAUUGACUAAACAGAAUUAUUAGUGGUGACAUCUAUACCCUUGUGGUGAAACGCCUGAUUCUCAGGGGUGUUGGUCUCUGGCUGUGGAGCCAGAGGUUGGGAGUUCAAUUCCCCCCACCCCCCACCCCGUUGCCUCUUUGAGAGGGGCUGGACGGGAUGAUUCAAAGGGUCCCUUCCAGCUCUCCUGUUCUAAGAAAGCCUGAGGGGGCUUUCUUAAACAUUUUUGAAAUGUUUCUGAGGCCAGCUAGCACUUUUUGUUGUUGUCCACUUGCUUCUGAUUUAUGGCCACCCUACUAGGGUCUUCGUGGUGCAUGAGACAGUUGAGGGAUGGUUGACCCUCCCCCCCCCACUGAUGACUUCCCCAUAGCCAAGAGGCCAUUUGAACCGAGGGCUCCUGAGUCUUCAUCAGCAGAUCCCUCAGCGACACCACGUUGUGUCUCAAGCGUAUUUAAAGGUCUGCGGCCACAAUACAGCAUCUCCUUCCUCUAGGCCCCAUCGCUGCUGCUGCUGCUGUUUCCGCCCGCCCAGGGCCAGCCCCCAGCAGAGAAGCCUCGCCGUCGAAGGUCCAGCCCAGGGGCCCCCACCGCCUCUCUUCUGCCGCCCCCUCCCCAGGAGGUUCGGCAUCAUCUGCUGGGCUGUCUUAGGGACCCUCAGCCUCAUCGCUGGCUUCUUCACUCUGCUGUACAGCCUCCGAAUGGAUCGGAACCAGGCUGGGCACUGGGCUGUCACCAUCCUGUUGUCCACACUGCAAAACGUCUUCCUCAUGCAGCCCCUGAAGGUGGGCCGAGGCUCCGCAUUCCCCCCCCGCCCGCCGCCCAU
This is a long non-coding RNA of Pogona vitticeps (central bearded dragon), 2065 nucleotides long. NCBI's taxonomy places the organism in Eukaryota, Metazoa, Chordata, Lepidosauria, Squamata, Agamidae. The record is from Ensembl.